This 406-nucleotide ribosomal RNA is filed under the name uncultured bacterium. Its description in RNAcentral is "partial 16S ribosomal RNA". It matches the Rfam family "Bacterial small subunit ribosomal RNA", at positions 30 to 526 of the family's 1533-position model. The record is from RNAcentral.
AUUGAACGCUGGCGGCAGGCCUAACACAUGCAAGUCGAACGAGUGGCGGACGGGUGAGUAAUGUCUGGGAAACUGCCUGAUGGAGGGGGAUAACUACUGGAAACGGUAGCUAAUACCGCAUACCAUCAGAUGUGCCCAGAGGGGAUUAGCUAGUUGGUGGGGUAACGGCUCACCACGGCGACGAUCCCUAGCUGGUCUGAGAGGAUGACCAGCUACACUGGAACGGAGACACGGUCCAGACUCCGACGGGUGGCAGCAGUGGGGAAUAUUGCACAAUGGGAGCAAGCCUGAUGCAGCCAUGCCGCGUGUAUGAAGAAGGCCUUCGGGUUGUAAAGUACUUUCAGCGGGGAGGCGUUACCCGCAGAAGAAGCACCGGCUAACUCCGUGCCAGCAGCCGCGGUAAUAC